GACGUAGGGAGCGAGCGUUGUCCGGAUUCAUUGGGCGUAAAGGGUCCGUAGGCGGCUCAGCAAGUCAGGUGUGAAAUCUCCAGGCUCAACCUGGAGGGGCCACCUGAUACUGCUGUGGCUUGAGUCCAGUAGGGGAGCAUGGAAUUCCCGGUGUAGCGGUGAAAUGCGCAGAUAUCGGGAGGAACACCAGUGGCGAAGGCGGUGCUCUGGGCUGGAACUGACGCUGAUGGACGAAAGCGUGGGUAGCAAA
This 250-nucleotide ribosomal RNA is filed under the name uncultured bacterium. Its description in RNAcentral is "partial 16S ribosomal RNA". It matches the Rfam family "Bacterial small subunit ribosomal RNA", at positions 524 to 772 of the family's 1533-position model. The record is from RNAcentral.